GGGGGGUUUCCCUCCAGAGUCAAUUCAGAUGUCAAAGUAUCAAAACAUAAAAAGUUAAAAUCAUGGUUAAUAAAUCACAUAAGAUAGUUUCAGGAAAGAAGGAAGGAAUUGGAUGUAGAUCAUAAGGAGCUUGUGUUUCAUUAUGCAAAUGAUAUUUUGCAGCAACCCAAAGGAUUUUGAGCAGGGGAAUGGUAAGAGUUAUAUAUUAGGAAUACUACCCUGAUGUCUUUAGUCAGGAAAAGGUAGAAUUUAAGGAUCAGAUCAGUGGGACCUAUAAUUAACUGGAUAUGGGGUUGAUGGAAAUGUGGGAAUAAAAACUAACUUGAAUGUUUUAAGCCUUUGUGACUGGAGGAUGAUACUGCUAUUAAUGUAUGCAGGUGUCUGAGGAGAAGGCACUUCCAAUAUGAGUCUAAGAAGAUAACUGGGCAGAAAUGAUGAACUGGGUUUCAGAAAUGUUGAUAUGAUCAUAUCUAACAGGCAGUUCUUGUUAAUUGUUGCCUUGUGUGAUAUCUGGCAUUUUGUGUUUUUGAAUUCCCCAACUAUGUCAGAAGAACCCUAAAGUACUUGUGUCUCUUCUUUGUCCCUCCCCAAUAUCUAACACAGACCCUCAUUCCUCUGGUUCUUGUCCUUUUGGAGCUUAACCCAGGCUUUUAUCAUAGGGCACAGCCACCAAGACUUGACCAUAUGAUGAUGAAAUAGUCUAGGCUCUCUUACUGCUUUAGCAGAGAUCUAAAAGUACACAGGAGUACACACCCAGGACAUGCAUAAGAGAUUUAAUAAGCCAUGAUUACCUUAUCAGUAAAUAAAGGGGUGAGUGGGCUGGACUUCCUUCCUUUCUCUCCCUCCCUCCCCCCCUCCUCCCUCCUUCCC
This 870-nucleotide long non-coding RNA is filed under the name Marmota monax (woodchuck). Lineage: Eukaryota; Metazoa; Chordata; Mammalia; Rodentia; Sciuridae. The record is from RNAcentral.